CUUUUUAGCUCACCUGACCUGAAAGGUCAAGUGAGCUUUUCUCAUCACUUUGCGUCCGUCGUCCGUCGUCCUGCGUCCGUCGUCCGUCGUCCGUCGUCCGUAAACUUUUACAAAAAUCUUCUCCUCUGAAACUACUGGGCCAAAUUUAACCAAACUUGGCCACAAUCAUCAUUGGGGUAUCUAGUUUUAAAAAUGUGUGGCGUGACCCGGUCAACCAACCAAGAUGGCCGCCACGGCUAAAAAUAGAACAUAGGGGUAAAAUGCAGUUUUUAGCUUAUAACUCAAAAACCAAAGCAUUAAGAGCAAAUCUGACAUGGGGUAAAAUUGUUCAUCAGGUCAAGAUCUAUCUGCCCUGAAAUUUUCAGAUGAAUCGGACAACCCGUUAUUGGGUUGCUGCCCCUGAAUUGGUAAUUUUAAGGAAAUUUUGCUGUUUUUGGUUAUUAUCUUGAAUAUUAUUAUAGAUAGAGAUAAACUGUAAACAGCAAUAAUGUUCAGCAAAGUAAGAUUUACAAAUAAGUCAAUAUAACCGAAAUUGUCAGUUGACCCCUUUAGGAGUAAUUGCCCUUUAUAGUCAAUUUUUAACCAUUUUUCGUAAAUCUUAGUAAUCUUUUACAAAAAUCUUCUCCUCUGAAACAACUGGGCCAAAUUAAACCAAACUUGGCCACAAUCAUCAUUUGGUUAUCUAGUUUUGAAAAUGUGUGGCGUGACCUGGUCAACCAACCAAGAUGGCCGCCACGGCUAAAAAUAGAACAUAGGGGUAAAAUUCAGUUUUUGGCUUUUAACUCAAAAACCAAAGCAUUUAAAGCAAAUCUGACAUGAAGUAAAAUUGUUUAUCAGGUCAAGAUCUAUCUGCCCUGAAAUUUUCAGAUGAAUCGGACAACCCGUUGUUGGGUUGCUGCCCCUGAAUUGGUAAUUUUAAGGUGAUUUUGCUGUUUUUGGUUAUUAUCUUGAAUAUUAUUAUAGAUAGAGAUAAACUGUAAAAAACAAUAAAUGUCGGCAAAGUAAGAUCUACAAAUAAGUCAACAUGACCGAAAUUGUCAGUUGACCCCUUUAGGAGUUAUUGCCCUUUAUAGUCAAUUUUUAACCAUUUUUUCGUAAAUCUUAGUAAUCUUUUACAAAAAUCUUCUCCUCUGAAACUACUGGGCCAAGUUAAUUAUAGAUAGAGAUAAUUGUAAGCAGGAAAAAUGUUCAGUAAAUUAAGAUGUACAAACACAUCACCAUCACCAAAACACAAUUUUGUCAUGAAUCCAUCUGCGUCCUUUGUUUAAUAUUCACAUAGACCAAGGUGAGCGACACAGGCUCUUUAGAGCCUCUAGUUGUUUAUAUUUAUGAAAACUUAAAUAUGCUGUUUUAUAGCAAAGAAAUAAUGUUGCAGGUUUUUUUUCAAAGUAUACAACUACCAACUGAUUCUUAAAAUAAAUAACAGUAUUAUCAUAUAUAAUUAAGAUUAUCAUUUUAAAAACAUUUUUGACAUUUUACCAGAAUUCUUCAUAUUCUUAUUUUCAGAAAAAUUGUUACUUUUUUAUGUAUUUUUUUUAAUUAUCAAUUGUUCUUAUUUUCUGUGUAUGUUUGCCUUAGAUAACAUUAUUUAUAUCAUUAUUAAUGUACAAUACAAUUGUAAAUAGUAGCCAAGCAGAAAUUUGCUAUUAUUUAUUGUGUAAUUUAUUAUUUUUUUUGGCACAUUGUGUUCAUAAGGUGGCCAUAAAAAAGACUGCUGUCACAUUUUGCAAACAGAUGAAAAAUUUUAUUUUGGAUAAUUAAACAUAAAAAAAUGUCAUUCAGAAUAAAGGUUACUGAUAAAAGAA
Molecule: long non-coding RNA, 1805 nt
Organism: Mytilus californianus (California mussel)
Lineage: Eukaryota; Metazoa; Mollusca; Bivalvia; Mytilida; Mytilidae
Exons: 2
Source: RefSeq, a predicted model, not a curated record